UACGGGGGGGGCAAGCGUUGUUCGGAAUUACUGGGCGUAAAGGGCUCGUAGGCGGCCAACUAAGUCAGACGUGAAAUCCCUCGGCUUAACCGGGGAACUGCAUCUGAUACUGGAUGGCUUGAGUUCGGGAGAGGGAUGUGGAAUUCCAGGUGUAGCGGUGAAAUGCGUAGAUAUCUGGAGGAACACCGGUGGCGAAGGCGGCGUUCUGGACUGCAUCUGACACUGAGGAACGAAAGCCAGGGGAGCAAACGGG
This 253-nucleotide ribosomal RNA is filed under the name uncultured bacterium. RNAcentral's name for it is "partial 16S ribosomal RNA". It matches the Rfam family "Bacterial small subunit ribosomal RNA", at positions 524 to 776 of the family's 1533-position model. The record is from RNAcentral.